GACGAACGCUGGCGGCGUGCUUAACACAUGCAAGUCGAGCGGUAAGGCCCUUUCGGGGUACGACGAGCGGCGAACGGGUGAGUAACACGUGGGUGACCUGCCCUCAGCUCUGGGAUAAGCCCGGGAAACCGGGUCUAAUACCGGAUAUGACUCCGCGGCGCAUGUUGUGGGGUGGAAAGCCUUGUGCGGCUGGAGAUGGGCCCGCGGCCGUAUCAGCUUGUUGGUGGGGUGAUGGCC
Molecule: ribosomal RNA, 237 nt
Filed under: uncultured bacterium
Lineage: Bacteria
Description: partial 16S ribosomal RNA
Rfam family: Bacterial small subunit ribosomal RNA
Source: RNAcentral